CCUACGGGAGGCAGCAGUGAGGAAUAUUGGUCAAUGGGCGCAAGCCUGAACCAGCCAUGCCGCGUGCAGGAAGAAUGCCCUACGGGUUGUAAACUGCUUUUAUUUGGGAAUAAACCUUUCUACGUGUAGAAAGCUGAAGGUACCAAUUGAAUAAGCACCGGCUAACUCCGUGCCAGCAGCCGCGGUAAUACGGAGGGUGCAAGCGUUAUCCGGAAUCAUUGGGUUUAAAGGGUCCGCAGGCGGACCUAUAAGUCAGUGGUGAAAGCCUACAGCUUAACUGUAGAACUGCCAUUGAAACUGUAGGUCUUGAAUUCGGUCGAAGUGGGCGGAAUGUGUAGUGUAGCGGUGAAAUGCAUAGAUAUUACACAGAACACCGAUAGCGAAGGCAGCUCACUAGGCCUGGAUUGACGCUCAGGGACGAAAGCGUGGGGAUCAAACAGGAUUAGAUACCCUGGUAGUCCACGCCGUAAACUAUGAUUACUCGUUUUCGGCGAUAUACAGUCGGAGACUAAGCGAAAGUGAUAAGUAAUCCACCUGGGGAGUACGAUCGCAGGUCGAAACGUUAAAGUAGUAGUAGACGNGUGAGAGUCGACGAGGACACACGGAGGGAGGAGG
RNAcentral lists this ribosomal RNA (615 nucleotides) under uncultured bacterium. RNAcentral's name for it is "bacterial SSU rRNA". It matches the Rfam family "Bacterial small subunit ribosomal RNA", at positions 338 to 1414 of the family's 1533-position model. The record is from RNAcentral.